UGAAACUUCAUCUACAACUGCAACAGGAACAUCAUCUAUGCCAGCAUCUACAUCUGAAUCAACGACAACAGCUGAACCAACAACAACUGAAACUUCAUCUACAACUGUAACAGGAACAACAACUACGCCAGCAUCUACAUCUGAAUCAACAACUGUAGUUGAACCAACAACUAAAACAUCUACAGCUCAAUCAACUGUACCAACAUCUACGAAUCAAACAACAGCUGUUCCAACAUCUGCAUCAGCUGCACCAAUUUCGACAGUUGCGGUAUUAUAUACACCAACUGAAUCAACAUCUACCACUCAAUCAACAACUGCACCAACAUCUGCCACUCUAUCAACAUCAGCUGCGUCAACAUUGACAUCAGCUGCAUUAACAACCACAACUCGAACAGCAACACCAGCAUCUACCUCUGAACUGACAACAACUCAACCAGUAAAUCAGUCAACACCCUCAUCUCCAGAAAUUUACCUGCAAAAUACGACAGCAGCUGCAUAUGUAACUUUCAAAAUGAGAUCCUUUGUUGACCUGAGCGAUGAUAAAAUCAUUACAUAUAUUGAAAAGUUUGUCAAGCAAUUUCACACAAACAGUAGUGGGACCAUCAGGAUUACUUUGAAGAAAUCAAAAAAAUUGUUGACCUGAGGAUCUGACAUGGAAAACUGCAAUCUUCUACAAAAAUAUCAGAAUGAUUAUACCAGUAUGAAAAUUAAAAAAGGUUUUGUCCAGUCAAUAUUUUUUUUCACUUUCUACAAUAUUUUUCAUAAUAUAUAUAUAUAGUGAUUGUGAUUAAAAGAAGCACUUGUAGUCACAGACAAAAGGUUAACAGCUAACUUUUCUUUUUCUUUUUUCUUUUUUGUAUCUUAGUUAAUCUGUUUUAAUUUAGGUGCCGCACUUUUUUCAUUCUCAACUCAAACUAUUUCUUGAGCUGUGUUGUGUAAUAUAAUAUAUUUUGUGGAUGUUAUUUAAUUUCUGCUCCUUUCAGUGUGAUUUAGAAAAAUCAUAUAUUCUAACAUUUAUUUAUUCUAAUACAUCUAACAUUUCAAAGUUGUGGAAUGUCAGAAUGUGUUGCAUUCGUCUUAUACUAGCUAGAUAACUAGAAGUCUUUAGGUCAAAACUGUUUUGUAAAUGUUGAUACAAGUACUGUUAUAUAAUAUAUACUGUAAAUACCAUGGUCUGUCUGAAUACUCGGAUUCUGAUGCCGAUUGCUCUUGUGCAUGUAGGCACCUGCUGUAUUGUAAAAUACUGAAUCUAGCCGCACAACGGCUGCUAAAAAUGACAACGAAGCCAGGGAAGUUUGCAGUUUAAUCUCUAUGUUAUUGUUUAUAUGGUCAUCAAGGAAACACACAGUGAAUGUGGGCAGCCACACCAUCAUUUUCAAAAGUCUCCAUUUUGGUCCGCUUACACUGAAACGCAACCACAAUCAGUUUUCAAACUAAUACAGGGUCUGCAGCAUUUUCAAAAAUCUCCAUUUUCGAGGGUUGAAAAUGCUGGAGAAGUGUAAACGUAUGAAAAAACAAAAAGUUAUGGGUUUUAAAAUGAAAAUGCACUAGUGUAAAUGUAGUCUUAGGCUGAUGAUACAUGGGGUGACUUUUUGAGCAAUUUUGCUGGGCAACUUGAGAAACAAGUUUCUAUCUGGAUACUUUAGAUCAGUCGUGGGCCCUGUGUCUAACCUGGUUGCCCGUUGAUGGCAACACUGCUCAAAAAGUUGCCCCGUGUGUCAUCAUCCUUAAUGUAGUGCCGAAUUCAACUGUCCAUGAAUCUCAGCUGCGACUCUGGGCGCUGUUCAAAAUCCUGCCAUGCCACUCACAAAGUUUUCCAUUAAAUUGUAUUAUAUUGGUCCCAAAUUAUUGUUAAGGUACAUAAAGACAAUGUAUUGUGCAAUUUUCAGUGAAACGUUUGUCUUUCUAUGGCUCUAAUAAAAUCCGGGCUUCAUAUAGAGGUUUCUGUUUUUUCGACAUAUCUGUUUUUUUCAAUCACCAAACUUCAAUCUCAUUGACAGCACUUGGUCAUUCUUGAAGUGAACUUUUGAGUGUUGGGAGAACAGAUUAAAGGUUUUGGACUGUCAUCUUGAAUUGAAUGUGACGCGUCUGGUGUGUGACACACACACAAAUAUCCGUGUAUAUUUCAGUGUAUAUUGCUAUUUGUUUUGGUUUGGGGUGUUUGUAUCACAUAUUUUGGUUCUUUGACCAAGUUUUUAGAUAGUUUGCUUGAUUACUGGUUGUUUGAAUCAUUUUCACAUCUGCUGUUCAUUUCUUUUAUUAGUUUGGUUGGUCUAAGCCCUGUGUUUUGUUCAGUUCUUUGUCAGUUCUCAUUGCUUGUUGUUUCUAGAUUCUGAGCUUCAUGUAAAUAAAACUGAUACUGAUGCAUUUACA
Long non-coding RNA from Cyprinus carpio (common carp), 2373 nucleotides. RefSeq lists it as uncharacterized. The transcript has 3 exons. The record is from RefSeq and is a predicted model, not a curated record. Lineage: Eukaryota; Metazoa; Chordata; Actinopteri; Cypriniformes; Cyprinidae.